GACGAACGCUGGCGGCGUGCUUAACACAUGCAAGUCGAGCGGUAAGGCCCUUUCGGGGGGUACACGAGCGGCGAACGGGUGAGUAAUACGUGGGUGACCUGCCCUCAGCUCUGGGAUAAGCCCGGGAAACUGGGUCUAAUACUGGAUAUGACUCCACGGUGCAUGCCGUGGGGUGGAAAGCCUUGUGCGGCUGAGGAUGGGCCCGCGGCCUAUCAGCUUGUUGGUGGGGUGAUGGCCUACCAAGGCGACGACGGGUAGCCGGCCUGAGAGGGCGACCGGCCACGCUGGGACUGAGACACGGCCAGACUCCUACGGGAGGCAGCAGUGGGGAAUCUUGCGCAAUGGGCGAAAGCCUGACGCAGCGACG
RNAcentral lists this ribosomal RNA (367 nucleotides) under uncultured bacterium. RNAcentral describes it as "bacterial SSU rRNA". It matches the Rfam family "Bacterial small subunit ribosomal RNA", at positions 28 to 396 of the family's 1533-position model. The record is from RNAcentral.